AGUUGACCUCUGUAGACUUGACCUGUGUAGUUGAUCUGCACAGAGGUGACCCACUUCGAGUUGGCCUGUGUAGAGCUGACCCAUGUAGAGUUGACCCAUGUAGAGUUGACCCAUGUAGAGUUGACCUGCAUAGAGUUGACCCACCUUGUCCCACGUAGAGUUGUCCCACCCCAUCACCUUGGGGAGCUGCCUGGGACAGCGAGCAGAACCAGGAGGUGGCUCCUUGGGUGCUGAGCUUGUCCAGCAGUGGGGAGAAGAGCCUCUGGGGCUUUCCUGCUCCCCCUCCUCCUGGGGGGGGUGGGUCCCACAGGGACCCUGGUGCCCACUCCCCAUGCCCAUGGAGCACUGGGGGGUGCAGAUGACACCCACACCACGCUCAUGGCUGUGAGCUCAACCCCAUCCCAGGAAGAGAUGGGGUCACCUUGGGACUGUGUCCCCCCCCCCCAUAUCCCUCCCCAUCCCCCCCCCCAUCUCCAUCCCUGCUUCUGCCCCCCACCCAGGGGGGGGUUGUGCUGAUCCCAACCCCCCCGGGAUCAAGCUCCACCAAGAAGCCCAACAGCCAUAAAGAAGCUCCGUGGGGGAUGAUAACACCUUUGGGGUCUCCCCAGCAGCUGAAACGGGGGGUUUUGCUCUGUCUCUGUGUGUGUGUGUGUGUGUCCCACCCCCAAAAACUCUCCCCCCCACCCCCCCAAACCCACCCAUUCCCGUGGUUUCCCCGGCAGUGACGUGGCUGUGGAGCUGCCCUUCACCCUGAUGCAUCCCAAGCCCAAGGAGGAGCCAACACACCGGGACGCUCCAGAGAACGAAGCACCCAUAGAUACAAACCUGAUAGAGCUUGACACAAAUGACGACGACAUCGUGUUCGAGGACUUCGCCCGCCAGCGGCUCAAGGGGAUGAAGGACGACAAGGAGGAUGAGGAGGAGAGGACAAACUCCCCCCAGCUCAACGACAGAUAAGCGAGCCCCCCCCCCCAUUCCUCCCUGGGCCACCCCACCCCCCUAUUCCAAGCUCGCCAGCACCGCGUUCGGCUUCUUGUGUUGUUUGGUUUCUGGUUUUUUUGUUGGGUUUUUUUUUUUUUUGAAUUCGUUUUAUAUUUUUUGGUUCAUUUUGUAUGAUUCUUCCCCGGGGGGGGGAGGGGGUUUUCCUGCCUCCCCCCGGGGGAUCCCCCGGCCCUGAGAACCUUCCAGCUGUGCCCUCUGGUUCACUCUUCAUCCAGCUGCUGUUCUCUCCUUGGGCAGGGCAUGGCUGGGGUAGGGGGGGCUGCCGGGUGGGGUGGGUUUUGGGGGGCGCUGCAGCCUGCCCCCCCCCAUCCCACCCCCUCCCCAUCCAGCCCUUUUCCACCCCCCCCUCCCCACUCCCCCCCUGCACUCGGAGCCCUUUCCCACGAGCUGCCUCUUUUAUGUGUUUUCUACCAGUCCAGUCUGAACACCAGUUUGCUACUGGGGUGGGGAAAAGGAGGGGGGGGGGGGGGGAAGGGUUGCAGCAGAAUGGGGAGGGGGUGGGAGAAAAGGGGGUGAGGGGGGAGCGGGGGAGGGUCUUUCCUAGGCAACCUGCUGAUGGGGAGGGGUGCACCCGUUGCCCCUCAGCUGUCCCCCCCUGUCACCUCGCCCAGCCCUGCUGCACGUGUCCCUGCCCUGGGAUGCACGAGCCUGGCUUUGACCCUUGGAUCCUGCCCCAAAACCGAGACCCCCCCACCCCCACCCCCAGCCCCCCCAGCAAAGGCUUGAGCCGACACUGGGCUCUGGGCAUCAUUUCCCUUUGCUCUUACCCCCACGCCCCCCAUAAAACCACCAUCCCUGGGUGUGUGUGUGGGGGGGUGUUUAUUCUUCAGCUCCAUCAGUUUUUACACUGAGAAAGCCUCCCUGCCCGCUCAGGGCUGGGAGUUGCUGGGGGCCAGGGAAGGGCAGGGGGCUCGGGGGGUUGGGGGAGGAUGGACGCCCCCCCAAGGAGGGGGGCAGGACACACGUUCUUGCUCUGGGAGCAACUUCCAACAACACCCCCUCUCAGCCCAGCAGGGUCACGGCAGUGCAGCCUUGUUCCCUGACACCAGGGGGGCUUUGUUUUGUCCCCCCCAGCCCCCCAAGCUCCCCUGCUUGAUCUUUCCCACCCCCCUGCAUCCUCCCCCUCUUGGGGGGGGGAAGGGGAACACAGUGUUUGACACCCCCCCUUGAUGUUUCACCAGAUACUUGGGGCCUCCUGGCUCAGUGGUGCCCCUCCUGGGUCCCUUCUAGGACCCUCCCGACCCCCACCAGGGUCUCCUUUUUUCUUGGGGGGGGGGUGUGUCUCCCUCCACCCACCAAGAGGCUGUUCUCACUAUUUAUUGUGCCCUUGAGGUCAGCAUUGUCAUCUGAGAGCAACCCGGGGGGGUGGGUGGCUCCAUCCCUCCCCUGUCCAGGGAGGGGGUGCAGGGCUGAGUGUCAUGUCAUGUGUGUGUCCCCCCCCUUGUCGUCCCCCCCCCCCCCAUUAUUUUGGGGUGAAGCUGAUGGGCAGCGUGGUACUUCUGAUUUUUGAUGAUGAUGAUGAUGAUUUUUUUGUUUUUUGUAAAGUGGUUUCUUUGUACUGUUCCUUGAUAACCUGCUUCUUUGGUUUCCCCACCAUGAUCUGUGAUGUUUUCUGUGUUCUGUCAAAUAAAUUAUUCUAGUUUAUUAAACUCGGAACAAACAAAACAAAACAAAACAAAAAGCAAAAACAAAAUAAAAGAGAGUCCUGCCACCUGGAAA
Long non-coding RNA from Apus apus (common swift), 2721 nucleotides. RefSeq lists it as uncharacterized. The transcript is spliced from 3 exons. The record is from RefSeq and is a predicted model, not a curated record. NCBI's taxonomy places the organism in Eukaryota, Metazoa, Chordata, Aves, Apodiformes, Apodidae.